This is a long non-coding RNA of Limanda limanda (common dab), 294 nucleotides long. RefSeq lists it as uncharacterized. NCBI's taxonomy places the organism in Eukaryota, Metazoa, Chordata, Actinopteri, Pleuronectiformes, Pleuronectidae. The record is from RefSeq and is a predicted model, not a curated record. The transcript has 3 exons.
CCCCCCACACACACAAACAAAGAGGCGUUAGGCUGAGACGCUGAAAGUCCGGAUUUAAAGUGCAGAAAAUUAAGCCAUUGAAUCUGCCUGUCCAUGACGUACAAAGACACACUAUGAGCCAGUAUGAUCCGACCAGACCUUACAUCAGCAUUGAGGAGUUGUCGGAGAAGAAAGAGGCUGAUUGAAGCGGGACAGAUGACAUGGAUCCAUCCUUCCACAGCCAGGAGCGCACCGACCUGUGUCCCACACUUCAUAUAAGACUGGAAGCUACACUGAUCUCACAGCUACACACUG